Molecule: ribosomal RNA, 253 nt
Filed under: uncultured bacterium
Lineage: Bacteria
Description: partial 16S ribosomal RNA
Rfam family: Bacterial small subunit ribosomal RNA
Source: RNAcentral
UACAGAGGUCUCAAGCGUUGUUCGGAUUCAUUGGGCGUAAAGGGUGUGUAGGUGGCGCGCUAAGUCGGGUGUGAAAUUUCGGAGCUUAACUCCGAAACUGCAUUCGAUACUGGCGUGCUUGAGGACUGGAGAGGAGACUGGAAUUCAUGGUGUAGCAGUGAAAUGCGCAGAUAUCAGGAGGAACACCGGUGGCGAAGGCGGGUCUCUGGGCAGUAACUGACGCUGAGGAGCGAAAGCGUGGGGAGCGAACAGG